AUUGAACGCUGGCGGCAUGCCUUACACAUGCAAGUCGAACGGUAACAGGUUAAGCUGACGAGUGGCGAACGGGUGAGUAAUGUAUCGGAACGUGCCCAGUCGUGGGGGAUAACUGCUCGAAAGAGCAGCUAAUACCGCAUACGACCUGAGGGUGAAAGCGGGGGCUCGCAAGACCUCGCGCGAUUUGAGCGGCCGAUAUCAGAUUAGGUAGUUGGUGAGGUAAAGGCUCACCAAGCCGACGAUCUGUAGCUGGUCUGAGAGGACGACCAGCCACACUGGGACUGAGACACGGCCCAGACUCCUACGGGAGGCAGCAGUGGGGAAUUGUGGACAAUGGGCGCAAGCCUGAUCCAGCCAUGCCGCGUGCGGGAAGAAGGCCUUCGGGUUGUAAACCGCUUUUGUCAGGGAAGAAAAGGUUCUGGCUAAUACCUGGGACUCAUGACGGUACCUGAAGAAUAAGCACCGGCUAACUACGUG
RNAcentral lists this ribosomal RNA (477 nucleotides) under uncultured bacterium. RNAcentral describes it as "partial 16S ribosomal RNA". It matches the Rfam family "Bacterial small subunit ribosomal RNA", at positions 30 to 507 of the family's 1533-position model. The record is from RNAcentral.